AGAUCUGUGCCCGAAUGUUCAGGGACCACUUUGAUAGAGUGACUCACGAGGGUUAAAAUCCCUCCAGCUCUU
Molecule: transfer RNA, 72 nt
Filed under: Bario sanctaefilomenae (redeye tetra)
Lineage: Eukaryota; Metazoa; Chordata; Actinopteri; Characiformes; Acestrorhamphidae
Description: Moenkhausia sanctaefilomenae (redeye tetra) tRNA-Ile
Rfam family: tRNA
About the family: Transfer RNA (tRNA) molecules are approximately 80 nucleotides in length. Their secondary structure includes four short double-helical elements and three loops (D, anti-codon, and T loops). Further hydrogen bonds mediate the characteristic L-shaped molecular structure. tRNAs have two regions of fundamental functional importance: the anti-codon, which is responsible for specific mRNA codon recognition, and the 3' end, to which the tRNAs corresponding amino acid is attached (by aminoacyl-tRNA synthetases). tRNAs cope with the degeneracy of the genetic code in two manners: having more than one tRNA (with a specific anti-codon) for a particular amino acid; and 'wobble' base-pairing, i.e. permitting non-standard base-pairing at the 3rd anti-codon position.
Source: RNAcentral